UCCACUCUGAGAAGAAAUUAUGAGGAGAUCUGUUUAUGAGCAGAAGAAUGUCAGGGAGUGAAGAUUCAAAAGAACUUCAGAGAAUCUAGGACAGCUUUUCCUCACACCAAAUUACUGGGUGUGGCAGGGGCAGUACGGGGAGCUGCCUACUGCGCCUCUGUCUAGGGGCAGCCGGGACAGGUCGCCGCUUGCAGGGAGCCGCCUGAGGGAAGCCAUAGCCUUACAGAGUAUGUUGUGUCAAGAACACAGAGCUCAGAAGAGGGAGUUUCACUUCACAGAAAUCGUUCCUGUCCAGCUGAUUAUUUGCCUGUUUAGCUAAUAUGUGAGCAUGCAGGUUGGGCAGGGUUAAGCGUGGAUAAAAUUGUCUUCAGGAACUUGCUUCUGUCCUCUGAUCACAGAGUCAGCUGGAAUGUUACUUUGGGGGCUAAAAAAGGGGACUGUGCUAGAAUGUAGAUAUGAACCAAACCAAUAAGGGUACAUAUAGUAUACAUAUGGGGGGAGGGAAGAGAUAGAGAAUGUGAUGAUGUGGUGGUGUGGUGUGGAAUAAAGGUUCUAUCUGUGUGAACUGGGAUGGCUGCAUUACUCAGGAGUGGCAAAACCACGGGGUUUAUCCCGGACAUUCCAAACUAGUGCCAAUAAACCCAGUACACCAACCCACCCCUUUGUAUACCCUGUAUAGCUAGUUACAUGAAUUCUGAAUGAUAUUUUAGAAAAAGUUGUAGAGAGGAACAGGAUCCUUUGUUGCCUAUGCAGUUGGAUGCAAGGUCUUAGGAGGGAGAGGAAGAAAAUAUCCUUCAAAUUAUGUUACACCCGCUUGUUGUAUCUUGUCUUUGUCUUUAGAUUAUAAAUUCUUUGGAGCAGGAAUCGUUCUAGGAAAUUCUAGACGGCAUUGGUGCAUGUGAACCUGGGACAGUACAUUAAGUGGGUUUUGUGAAGACAGCUUGCUGGAAUGGAAGCAAUAUGUUUACUGAUAUAUUGCUCAAGUCCAUUCCUAAUUUGAUACUGAAUAACUGAAAAGGAAUGCACAUGUAACUGGAUGCGCACUUCAGUCUUAAACUAUAGUCAGUCUGAGUCAUGAAAAUGGUGGUGUA
Long non-coding RNA from Malaclemys terrapin pileata, 1091 nucleotides. RefSeq lists it as uncharacterized. The transcript is spliced from 3 exons. The record is from RefSeq and is a predicted model, not a curated record. Lineage: Eukaryota; Metazoa; Chordata; Testudines; Emydidae.